GGGUGCGUAGCUCAAUUGGCAGAGCGUCACGUUUACACCGUGGAGGUUCCAGGUUCGAGUCCUGGCGCACCCACUA
This 76-nucleotide transfer RNA is filed under the name Candidatus Wolfebacteria bacterium. RNAcentral's name for it is "tRNA-Val". It matches the Rfam family "tRNA". From Rfam's summary of the family: Transfer RNA (tRNA) molecules are approximately 80 nucleotides in length. The record is from RNAcentral. Lineage: Bacteria; Candidatus Wolfeibacteriota.